Molecule: ribosomal RNA, 465 nt
Filed under: uncultured bacterium
Lineage: Bacteria
Description: partial 16S ribosomal RNA
Rfam family: Bacterial small subunit ribosomal RNA
Source: RNAcentral
CCUACGGGGGGCAGCAGUGGGGAAUUUUGCGCAAUGCGCGUAAGCGUGACGCAGCGACGCCGCGUGAAUGACGAAGGUCUUCGGGUCGUAAAGUUCUUUUGAUAGGGAAGAAAAUGCCUAAGAGUAACUGUGCAUGUAUUGACGGUACCUGCAUAAGCAGCCCCGGCUAACUCCGUGCCAGCAGCCGCGGUAAUACGGAGGGGGCGAGCGUUGUUCGGAUUGACUGGGCGUAAAGAGCACGUAGGCGGUGUUGUAAGUCAUUUGUCAAAGACUAGAGCUUAACUUUAGUAAGGCUAGUGAUACUGUAAUACUAGAGUGUCAGAGAGGAUUGCAGAAUUCCUGGUGUAGCGGUGAAAUGCGUAGAUAUCAGGAGGAAUACCAUUAGCGAAGGCGGCAAUCUGGCUGGAAACUGACGCUGAGGUGCGAAAGCGUGGGUAGCAAACAGGAUUAGAUACCCGUGUAGUC